UACGAAGGGGGCUAGCGUUGCUCGGAAUUACUGGGCGUAAAGGGCGCGUAGGCGGAUGUUUAAGUCGAGGGUGAAAGCCCAGGGCUCAACCCUGGAAAUGCCUUCGAUACUGGACAUCUUGAGUACGGGAGAGGUGAGUGGAACUCCGAGUGUAGAGGUGAAAUUCGUAGAUAUUCGGAAGAACACCAGUGGCGAAGGCGACUCACUGGCCCAUUACUGACGCUGAGGCGCGAAAGCGUGGGGAGCAAACAGG
Molecule: ribosomal RNA, 253 nt
Filed under: uncultured bacterium
Lineage: Bacteria
Description: partial 16S ribosomal RNA
Rfam family: Bacterial small subunit ribosomal RNA
Source: RNAcentral